Molecule: ribosomal RNA, 443 nt
Filed under: uncultured bacterium
Lineage: Bacteria
Description: partial 16S ribosomal RNA
Rfam family: Bacterial small subunit ribosomal RNA
Source: RNAcentral
CCUACGGGGGGCUGCAGUGGGGAAUAUUGGGCAAUGGGCGCAAGCCUGACCCAGCAACGCCGCGUGAAGGAAGAAGGCUUUCGGGUUGUAAACUUCUUUUCUCAGGGACGAAGCAAGUGACGGUACCGGAGGAAUAAGCCACGACUAACUACGUGCCAGCAGCCGCGGUAAUACGUAGGUGGCAAGCGUUAUCCGGAUUUACUGGGUGUAAAGGGCGUGUAGGCGGGGACGCAAGUCAGAUGUGAAAACCACGGGCUCAACCUGUGGCCUGCAUUUGAAACUGUGUUUCUUGAGUACUGGAGAGGCAGCCGGAAUUCCUAGUGUAGCGGUGAAAUGCGUAGAUAUUAGGAGGAACACCAGUGGCGAAGGCGGUCUGCUGGACAGCAACUGACGCUGAGGCGCGAAAGCGUGGGGAGCAAACAGGAUUAGAUACCCGUGUAGUC